This 319-nucleotide long non-coding RNA is filed under the name Salmo salar (Atlantic salmon). Its description in RNAcentral is "lncRNA (ENSSSAG00000083651.1)". Lineage: Eukaryota; Metazoa; Chordata; Actinopteri; Salmoniformes; Salmonidae. The record is from RNAcentral.
AAGUCCGGCUGGCUUAGAUCAUGUGCUAACAAGACGGAGAUUUUUGGACAUAAAUGAUGAGCUUUUUUGAACAAAACUACAUUCGUUAUGGACCUGUGAUACCUGGAAGUGACAUCUGAUGAAGAGAAUCAAAGGUUCCUCAACAAGAGAGGGAGAGGACACGGAAGAGGCCAACACAGGGGGGUGGAAGAAAUCAAGACUAUCCAACCACAUGGAGCAGGACCAGAACAAGGCUGUGAUCAACAUUUCUGGAGAACCCCUUUCUGAUGAUUGUGAAUCUACAUCUAAAGGCUUGGUACAAGCAAAACAUCUCUCCAAC